GGUGAAGGCAACAUAGUUGAAGUUCAUGAUCCUAUUAAAGUAUCAAACGAAAGGUGCAAAUAAGGUAGAUGAGAACCGCCCUAUGUCGAAAAAUGGUAGGCCACUUUCGUACGACGAGAUCAGAAUCAGGUGCGGCGCAUGCAAAUUGCUAGGGCACACUAAACGCAGCAAGAAAUGCAAACUAAAUAAGAAAAGCGUGGUGGGCGAAGAAGAGUAGAACAGUUGCUAAAGUUAUGUUAGGAUGAAUCCAGUGAUCUAAUAGUGAGGUGUUUACAAUGUGUUACUGCAUACAUGAUACAUGAUAUAUACUAUUGCAAGAGGCCAGUACCUUGAGAUAGUGCUUGUAGCAUAUAUGGACUAAACAGGAGGCGGUCACUAGGGACUUUAAUCAUGGAAAAUGGAUAGCAUUUUAGCCAUUGUAAUGAUGGCAUAUUUUGUGUUGUCCACUGUAGUUAUAUUAUAUUAGAAAACUAGACGAUACCCGGCAUGUUGUUGCGGGAAUGUUUUGCAAUAUAUUCAUAGAGAAAUGGUUACGUGUAACAUGUAUAUGUUGUUGCGGGAAUAUUUUGUUUGCAUGUUGUGGUGGACCUUUCUCCAUACAUG
This is a non-coding RNA of Aegilops tauschii subsp. strangulata, 603 nucleotides long. The record is from RefSeq and is a predicted model, not a curated record. Lineage: Eukaryota; Viridiplantae; Streptophyta; Magnoliopsida; Poales; Poaceae.